Molecule: long non-coding RNA, 692 nt
Organism: Herpailurus yagouaroundi (jaguarundi)
Lineage: Eukaryota; Metazoa; Chordata; Mammalia; Carnivora; Felidae
Exons: 2
Source: RefSeq, a predicted model, not a curated record
AAAUGAGGGCCCUGAAGAGCUUUUUCUCUAGACAGACAUCUCUUGAAGGUCUGCCUGUUGAAUAAACAGACCUAGCUCAGGGAGGGUUUUCUGGUGCUACAAAAGACUGCGGAAGAAAUAUAUCUAUGGCCAUUUUUUUAAUAGCAUAAGAAGAACAAAAAUACCUGUAGUGGUCUCAAGGUGAAAAGGAAAUUGAUCAAGUGUAGGAAAAAGACUAAGCUCCUUUCAAAGGAUUUCAGCAUCAAAGACUUUGAUCCCUGAGACAACUUCUAGCUGGCAAAUUCUCCAAAUAUGAUUACCUCCAAUAUAUGAGCUCAUUUCUCUGUACUUACUCCCAAAUGGUGAACAUCGAUUUGCGACAUUAAUGAAGUAAGUACCCAACUAUCCUUGUUCAUGAGCUAUUACCUCGGUAUUGAUUGUAGUCUUAAUUGACAAUUACUUGAGUGGGCUGGGCUAUACUGAGCUUUUAUUAAUUUUCCAUGGUGAUACUCAUUACUAAACUUCAUUGCAAUUGUGUAACAAUGUAUACUCCCCCCUGUAGCUCACUGAAUUGGAAAAUUCCACUGGCCAUUUCCCAAACCUCUUUAUCCUGGAAAAUAAAAAUUUUGCUAUUGCUAAAUUUGAUAUCAGGAUUCUAGACCUCGAUUCUGCGGGGAGAGAAUUGGCUGUGAAAAUAAAUAGAAUUUGCUAAA